AACCCGUACGCUUGAACUUGUG
This 22-nucleotide microRNA is filed under the name Eisenia fetida (common brandling worm). RNAcentral's name for it is "Efe-Mir-10-P2k_5p (mature (guide))". Lineage: Eukaryota; Metazoa; Annelida; Clitellata; Crassiclitellata; Lumbricidae. The record is from RNAcentral.